AACGCACGAGACCUGCGGACCUGCGGAAGGAUCAUUAAUGAGAAGCUGCCCCUCGUGGGUAGACCUCCCACCCUCUGUGAACUUACCUUUGUUGCUUUGGCAGGCCCGUCCUCUGGACCGCCGGCUUCGGCUGGCCCGUGCCUGCCAGAGGAUUCCAAACCCUGUCUAUCAGUGUUGUCUGAGUCUAUAUGAAAUCGUUAAAACUUUCAACAAUGGAUCUCUAGAUCGGAAGAGCACACG
Molecule: unclassified non-coding RNA, 240 nt
Filed under: soil metagenome
Description: partial contains 5.8S ribosomal RNA, internal transcribed spacer 2, and large subunit ribosomal RNA
Source: RNAcentral